Meriones unguiculatus (Mongolian gerbil) is the source of this 330-nucleotide long non-coding RNA. RefSeq lists it as uncharacterized. Lineage: Eukaryota; Metazoa; Chordata; Mammalia; Rodentia; Muridae. The record is from RefSeq and is a predicted model, not a curated record. The transcript has 3 exons.
CCGCUGCUUUCCAAGAAAGAUGGUCAAGUCUGGGAACUAGUGGGGCAGGGAAAGGCCCUGACAUCGCAGCAGGGGUCCACCAGGGCAGGGACCGGGACUUUCAUUGGUCACUGGCCAGACGGCUCACAGUGCUUCACCAUCGUUUAAACAUUUCCUCCAGCCCACUCUUUCUGGCCCUCAUCUACUCCGCCUUGGAGAGCCCAGUUGGCCUGGACAAGCAGCGCUCAAUAAUAGAUCACAUUCUAUCUGGCUGAAAAGAUACCGGAGAAAGGCAAGGCAUCCUUGUUCUUUUAUUAGCUCUUGCCUACCCUCUUUCUAGCUCCUUUCCAC